RNAcentral lists this ribosomal RNA (1124 nucleotides) under Neoscytalidium sp. Its description in RNAcentral is "LSU rRNA". It matches the Rfam family "Eukaryotic large subunit ribosomal RNA", at positions 45 to 1444 of the family's 3401-position model. The record is from RNAcentral. Lineage: Eukaryota; Fungi; Ascomycota; Dothideomycetes; Botryosphaeriales; Botryosphaeriaceae.
AAUCCGGUAGGAGAACCAACAGGGAUUGCCUCAGUAACGGCGAGUGAAGCGGCAACAGCUCAAAUUUGAAAGCUGGCCCCCCCGGGGGUCCGCGUUGUAAUUUGUAGAGGAUGAUUCGGCGAGGGCUCCCGCCUAAGUCCCCUGGAACGGGGCGUCAUAGAGGGUGAGAAUCCCGUAUGCGGUGGGCUGCCUUAGCCAUGUGAAUCUCCUUCGACGAGUCGAGUUGUUUGGGAAUGCAGCUCUAAAUGGGAGGUAAAUUUCUUCUAAAGCUAAAUACCGGCCAGAGACCGAUAGCGCACAAGUAGAGUGAUCGAAAGAUGAAAAGCACUUUGGAAAGAGAGUUAAAAAGUACGUGAAAUUGUUGAAAGGGAAGCGCUUGCAGCCAGACUUGUCCGCAGUUGCUCAGCCGGUCUCCUGACCGGCGCACUCUUCUGCGGCCAGGCCAGCAUCAGUUCGGGCGGUCGGAUAAAGGCCCCGGGAACGUAGCUCCUCUCGGGGAGUGUUAUAGCCCGGGGUGGAAUGCGGCCAGCCUGGACUGAGGAUCUCGCUUCGGCUAGGAUGCUGGCGUAAUGGCUGUAAGCGGCCCGUCUUGAAACACGGACCAAGGAGUCUAACAUCUAUGCGAGUGUUUGGGUGUCAAACCCAUGCGCGUAAUGAAAGUGAACGGAGGUGGGAACCCUCGCGGGUGCACCAUCGACCGAUCCUGAUGUCUUCGGAUGGAUUUGAGUAAGAGCAUAGCUGUUGGGACCCGAAAGAUGGUGAACUAUGCCUGAAUAGGGUGAAGCCAGAGGAAACUCUGGUGGAGGCUCGCAGCGGUUCUGACGUGCAAAUCGAUCGUCAAAUUUGGGUAUAGGGGCGAAAGACUAAUCGAACCAUCGACUACUAGGUGGUUAAGAGGUGGCUGAAAGUGCCCACCUAGUCCCCCCGUCCUCGGACGGGGGGGGCGACAUCGCCAAAUUGCGGGGACUCCCUUAGAGCCUCUACUACCGCGGCCGGCCGAAAGGCGCGGUGCAGCACCGGGUUAAUUGCCUAGGGUACGGUAAAAAGGUAGAGGAUUGGGAAAUCCGCAGCCAAGCGCCUAAUUCCCGCGGGAAAACGCCAAAGGUUCAAAGACAAAAUGGGGG